GUACUCAGAAAGGCAAAACAUCUUGCUCAAGGGCUCACAACUAUUUAGGUGGUAGAGCUAAGAUAUGAACCUACCUCUGACACCAAAGUGCACUUCAACACCCUACUAUCACCCAACAAAGAAUUCUGGCCACAGAAUCACCUUGCUGCGGUAUUCCUGACUGAAUCAAGAUACGCUGGGGAAGAGGCAGCUGAAGACAGCCCGGGUUCUGACCUCGGCCCUGCUGCCUAACUGCCUGGCGACUUCAGGUUUUCUAAUCACAGAAUUACUGGAGCGUCAAGAAGCGCCUGCAUGCUUGGAAGGGCUUCCAGGCAGAUGAACACACCUCAGCACCGGGUGGCAGUUUCCCAGGGUGCAACCCGGACCGGCUCUGGGUCACACUGACAAGGAUAACAAGGAUUAACAAUUUCCAGAGACAGCCCGUACAUAGAGGGAAAGUUUACUGAAAAAAAUGAAGAGGGGUCAGGGCAAGGCGAGGAGCAAGAAGCAUCCCCAAGGAAACAGAGAAGACCAGUACAACUGUACCUCUUUGCCAGCUGCACCAUCCGUACCAGUCUCCUGGGGUGGGAGUGUACAGCUCAGAGACUGCCACACUGCAAGACGAAGGGGCUGGAUGGACGGAAGUAAGAGGCGGAACCCUGCACACCCUCGGCCUCAGCCCCACUGAGUCUCCAAUGGGGCCACGCUUCUGAGUGCACCUCCCCCUGUCAUCUGUAAUGUGAGGGGGAACCAGGCUUGAUAUGGCAUUCCCAAUCCAGGGC
This 761-nucleotide non-coding RNA is filed under the name Pongo abelii (Sumatran orangutan). Lineage: Eukaryota; Metazoa; Chordata; Mammalia; Primates; Hominidae. The record is from RNAcentral.